RNAcentral lists this ribosomal RNA (253 nucleotides) under uncultured bacterium. RNAcentral describes it as "partial 16S ribosomal RNA". It matches the Rfam family "Bacterial small subunit ribosomal RNA", at positions 524 to 776 of the family's 1533-position model. The record is from RNAcentral.
UACGUAGGGUGCAAGCGUUGGCCGGAAUUAUUGGGCGUAAAGAGCUCGUAGGCGGUCUGUUGCGUCGACGGUGAAAACCCUCAGCUCAACUGGGGGCCUGCCGUCGAUACGGGCAGACUUGAGUGCGGUAGGGGAGACCGGAAUUCCUGGUGUAGCGGUGAAAUGCGCAGAUAUCAGGAGGAACACCGGUGGCGAAGGCGGGUCUCUGGGCCGUCACUGACGCUGAGGAGCGAAAGCGUGGGGAGCGAACAGG